CAGUAGCCGCGGUAAUACAGAGGAUGCAAGCGUUAUCCGGAAUGACUGGGCGUAAAGCGUCUGUAGGUGGCUUUUCAAGUCCGCCGUCAAAUCCCAGGGCUCAACCCUGGACAGGCGGUGGAAACUACCAAGCUGGAGUACGAUAGGGGCAGAGGGAAUUUCCGGUGGCGCGGUGAAAUGCGUUGAGAUCGGAAAGAACACCAACGGCGAAAGCACUCUGCUGGGCCGACACUGACACUGAGAGGCGAAAGCUAUGGGAGCAAAUGGGAUUAGAUACCCCUGUAGUCCCUGUCUCUUAUAC
This 301-nucleotide ribosomal RNA is filed under the name uncultured bacterium. RNAcentral's name for it is "partial 16S ribosomal RNA". It matches the Rfam family "Bacterial small subunit ribosomal RNA", at positions 509 to 807 of the family's 1533-position model. The record is from RNAcentral.